RNAcentral lists this ribosomal RNA (917 nucleotides) under uncultured bacterium. RNAcentral describes it as "bacterial SSU rRNA". It matches the Rfam family "Bacterial small subunit ribosomal RNA", at positions 1 to 916 of the family's 1533-position model. The record is from RNAcentral.
GCCCUUAGAGUUUGAUCCUGGCUCAGGACGAACGCUGGCGGCGUGCCUAACACAUGCAAGUCGAACGGAACUGUUUUGAAAGAUUUCUUCGGAGUGAAUUUGAUUUAGUUUAGUGGCGGACGGGUGAGCAACGCGUGAGUAACCUGCCUUCAAGAGGGGGAUAACAUUCUGAAAAGAAUGCUAAUACCGCAUGAUAUAUCGGAACCACAUGGUUCUGAUAUCAAAGAUUUUAUCGCUUGAAGAUGGACUCGCGUCCGAUUAGUUAGUUGGUGAGGUAACGGCUCACCAAAACCGCGAUCGGUAGCCGGACUGAGAGGUUGAACGGCCACAUUGGGACUGAGACACGACCCAGACUCCUACGGGAGGCAGCAGUGGGGGAUAUUGCGCAAUGGGGGCAACCCUGACGCAGCAACGCCGCGUGAAGGAUGAAGGUUUUCGGAUUGUAAGCUUCUUUUAUUAAGGACGAAAAAUGACGGUACUUAAUGAAUAAGCUCCGGCUAACUACGUGCCAGCAGCCGCGGUAAUACGUAGGGAGCAAGCGUUGUCCGGAUUUACUGGGUGUAAAGGGUGCGUAGGCGGCUUUGCAAGUCAGAUGUGAAAUCUAUGGGCUCAACCCAUAAACUGCAUUUGAAACUGUAGAGCUUGAGUGAAGUAGAGGCAGGCGGAAUUCCCCGUGUAGCGGUGAAAUGCGUAGAGAUGGGGAGGAACACCAGUGGCGAAGGCGGCCUGCUGGGCCUUAACUGACGCAGAGGCACGAAAGCGUGGGUAGCAAACAGGAUUAGAUACCCUGGUAGUCCACGCUGUAAACGAUGAUUACUAGGUGUGGGGGGUCUGACCCCUUCCGUGCCGGAGUUAACACAAUAAGUAAUCCACCUGGGGAGUACGGCCGCAAGGUUGAAACUCAGAUGAAUUGACGG